UUAAAUUGAAGAGUUUGAUCAUGGCUCAGAUUGAACGCUGGCGGCAGGCCUAACACAUGCAAGUCGAACGGUAACAGGAAACAGCUUGCUGUUUCGCUGACGAGUGGCGGACGGG
Molecule: ribosomal RNA, 115 nt
Filed under: Escherichia coli
Lineage: Bacteria; Pseudomonadati; Pseudomonadota; Gammaproteobacteria; Enterobacterales; Enterobacteriaceae
Description: partial 16S ribosomal RNA
Rfam family: Bacterial small subunit ribosomal RNA
Source: RNAcentral